AUGGCUGGAUUUUGGAUGGGUGAGGGGACCCAGGAGCGGAUGGAUCUAUGGCUGACCCGGGCCUUGGUCCUUUUGAGCUUCGCGGCGCAUCUUACCCUGGCCCAAUUAGCUGGGAUCCGUCGGCGUAGGGACUCCGGCAUGCAGAUAUCUCUGGUGUGGGUAGCAUACCACGUGACCGAGAUAAUCACGCCAAUCGCACUCGGCAAGGUGUUUCUCGACACCGCGACCGCGGUUAGCGAGCAUGUGAUGUUUGCAUUUUGGGCGCCAUUUCUCCUCCUCCACCUUGGUCGCCCGGACAACAUCACCAGCUAUGCUUUGGAGAACAAGGAACUGUCACCAACCCAAAAGGCUGCUCUCGUCCUUGAAAUUGGAGGAGCUAUCUAUGGCUCAUACAAGCAAAGAUUUAUGCGCCACGACAGGGCUCUGUGCGCCGCCUUCUUCAUCAUGCUCUUCUUUGGUUCCUAUAAGUAUGUGGAGAGAGCAGUUGCGCUACGGAGAGCUUCCUUUGACAACAUUCGCCGCUCAAACAAGAAAAAGUUUAUACGGCGCUUAACUUUUGAGGACCAGGGUCGUAAGAGGGAUAAUGAUGACGCCCUGCUUGAUGCUCACGGCCUUCUCGGUGUCACCAUGGCUGCCUUCGCUGACUAUCAAGUUGACCGCAGGACGUAUGUCCCAUCUUAUUCUUGUUGGAGGGAUGUGAGCAAGGUGGUGGAGAUGGAGGCGUCCCUCAUGUACGACAUGUUGUACACCAAAUCAAGUGUGAUCCACACUUUGGGUGGUUACAUCAUCCGUGUCCUCUCGCCGCCCGCCACCGCCACGGCACUCUAUCUCUUCCACAGUUAUGACGGCCUGGCCAUGGAGAGGGCAGAUCGGAUGGUCACAUACACCUUGCUUAUUGGUACCCUAAUGUUGGAUGUGAGAUGGCUGCUGAGAGCACUAGGGUCCACCUGGACAUAUGCCUUCUUGAUAUCCAAGAAAGGAGGCGGUCGGGCUGUGAUGCAACCAUGGUAUUUGCUCCGGCGCAUCCUCAUCUCUCUGGAUCCGUCCCGGCUGUCACUGAGAAGUGGCCCAAGUGGCCACAGGUUGUUGCCGGGCUCGGGUAUCGGACAGCGCAACUUGUUGCACGAGUGCAGUACUCCUCAAGUUAAGAAAAAGAAGAUGAUUGAUGUCAAGGAUGAGUUGUCUCAAGCUCUGUGCGAAUAUCUAGUGUUGAAUUUGGACAGAAUAUUCGAGAGCCGUUACACAACCACAGUGGAACUCGCUGAUUAUAUGAGGGAUAAUGCCAGGAGCUGUAGUUUUGAAAGGAACCUCAUCGCAUUCCACGUCGCCACGGACAUUUUCCUCCUGUGCAGGCCGACGUCGUCAGGGAUAGGAAGUGAAGCAUCAGCCAAAUACGAGAGGCAGAUUCGAGCGCUAUCAGAUUACAUGAUGUUUCUCCUCGCUCAACGCCAGCACAUGGUAUUGCCACCGGGUGAUGAGGGCGGCGAGUACAAAAAGGUUCGCCUUCAUUUGAAGAAAAUAUGGCGUGAAAUUGAAGUAUGGCGUGAAAGACGAACCGGCGAUUCACAGACAACAAGAGAGACUGAGCUUGCCUACAUCCUCCUAGAGAUGCAUGAGCCUCUGUACAGUAGUUCUUCUGACAUAAGACGAUACAAUAUUCCAGUCGCGUUUGGUGCUUAUUUGGCCGACAGGCUAUUAGAUGCACUGGGACCGGGAAUAUAUGGUACUGACGAGGACAGUCGCAGACUUGCAGGUUUCAUUCUGGUAUUCACCGAUGAGGCACAAACAAAAAUUAAAGAGCAUAGGGACUGCGGGGAACAAUCAAAACUCCUCAAUUAUUUGUUGAAGCUCAUUCUUGCUUCAUGGGUACGUCUUCUCACCUUCACGUCCGACCAAUGCAGCAGUGAUUCCCAUGCAAAACAGCUCAGCUGCGGUGGUGAGCUGUUAACCAUCGCCUGGCUGAUGAAACGACACACAACUAUUGUUUCCAAGCGAAUAAACUGA
RNAcentral lists this ribosomal RNA (2004 nucleotides) under Triticum aestivum (bread wheat). RNAcentral describes it as "partial small subunit ribosomal RNA". Lineage: Eukaryota; Viridiplantae; Streptophyta; Magnoliopsida; Poales; Poaceae. The record is from RNAcentral.